RNAcentral lists this long non-coding RNA (4205 nucleotides) under Lactuca sativa (garden lettuce). RNAcentral describes it as "long non-coding RNA (LSAT_LNC001085)". Lineage: Eukaryota; Viridiplantae; Streptophyta; Magnoliopsida; Asterales; Asteraceae. The record is from RNAcentral.
CCAUACAAACAAAAGUUGUUACGUAUAAAUCUUAUUGCAAUUAUAUACGAGUAAAAACCACUACGUAUAAAUCUAUUUCAAUUCUAUACGAGUAUGUAUGUUAGGUAUAAUUAUCUACUUAAUAUACAAGUAGUACCUAGGGUAUAAGUAGGGGAAACUUAUACUUAACAUUAAUACUUGUAUAGCGACGAAGUAUAAUGUUUCUAACAAGUUGCUACCAUGAGUCUGUAGUUGCGACUGUAUGACAUAGUCAUAUNCUAUGACAUAAUACCUCUGAUAAAACCCACUCAUGAUUUCCAUGAGGACAACCCAUUCAUGAUUUCCAUGAGAAAAACCCAUUCAUGAUUACCAUGAGGAACACCGCACGCUUCAUCGACGCCGGAAUAAUAAACAAAUAAAAGGAACGGAUCGUCACUCGCUUGUCUUGGGUUGUAAUUAACAACCACAAGUGGGGUCGUCAACCCGUAUCUUAUUCAUACACGACUUCCUUGCUCACACGGGAUUAACGGUUACAGUUCAUAGGAUUUCCACUAAGAUCCCCAAUCUUAGUUGAUGAAUGAGGUAGCUCAUGUAGACUUUGACGGCGUUCUAUAUUCCUAAAUAAAAAAGCAUAUUCAUGUCAAAAACCCUAAGUUACUAGACUAUGCUUUUAAACAGUACUCCUAACUUCAUAACAUUUAGGCAGUAUAAUAACUAUAACUUGAAGUAAAACCAGGUUUUAUCUUGACAUAAAACCGAUAACAACAACAACAUAUAACAUACCAAGUUUUAUCUUGUCAUAAAACUAACAAUAACAACAUAUAGCAUACUAAGUUUUAUCUUGACAUAAAACCAAUAAUAGCAACAUACUUUAUAACUUAACAUAUAGAACUUCCGAAUAUAACUUCGGAACUAUAUCGCACACNUUACGAUAGUUGUAUACUUUCAUAUACAAAAUAACUAUAUCCCGGUUAUUAUAACUAUCUACGUUGAUACUAAUAUACUAUCAUAUAGAUAUAAUAAUAACAUAUAUAUAAUAUUUAGCAUGCGUUUUUCCCUGAAAUAUUAGAAAGUGGGGCCGUGAAACUCACCUUAGCAUCGUGAUUUUAUGUAAUCUAAACAGAAACGGUCAGCGGUAAGAGGUCGUCGGGGCUCGGGAAGCGAAACGGCUUCAGCAAGCGAGAGAGAGAGAGAGAAAAGAAAUGGUGUACGGAGAGAGGAGGCCGGACUUGCUAUUUAUAGGCUGAUUUUUGGCCUCUCACGACGUGAAAAACUCAUUGUUCACGUCGUGAGUUUGUAUCUUAUCUCUUCGUAGACUUGUCAUCCGUCUUCUAGCUUCCGAAGGUGGCAAAAUGAGCCCUCACGACGUGAAAAAUGCCUUGUUCACGUCGUGAGUUUGGAUCUUAUCCCCUUGUAGCCUCGUCACACCUUCUAGAUCCGAAAUAUGGCGGUUUGACUCCUCACGUCGUGAGUUUUUAUGCUCACCUCGUGAGUUCAGUCAAAUUAGGGUUUUCUGACAGCGACAUCUUCGGAAGGCCAUAACUUUUGCAUACGAACUCCGUUUUUGACAUUCUUUAUAUCCACGCGUAGGUAUUUACGAGCACUGCAACUCUCUUUUAGACUCCAAUAGCUAAUUAUAAUCCUAUUUUAAAUUCCUUAUGUUAUAGAGAUUUUAUAGUGUUCGGUUUAUUAUAACUUCUUCAUGCAAAGUCAGAUUUAGAUGUUCUCUAUAUUUUUGGAAUCGUAUGGACAUAUAAUUUGAUUUAUACCAUAAAGUAUGUAUGAAAGUUCAUAUUUAUAUUAGAAUUAUCAUGAAAUACAUAGUGAGUUUACUACAUUACUAGUUUAACAAAAUCACAUUACAUGAUUGGCAUAAUCACAUGUGAUUGUUAUUGACCUAUUUUGACUGGUGUUACAUUCUCCUCUCGUUAGAAUAAUUGCAUCCCGAAAUUUAUCUUGUGGACGAGGAAUUGUUAAUUAGUUGGGGAAAAGUUUGUGGAUAUUGCUUAGCUGUUAAUGUAACUUAAGUUAAUAUGCGACAUAACCAAUUCUUGCUAGAAUUUCAAAAAGUCCUAUAUAUCGUGGUUUAGCUUGCCUUGUUUUUUGAAUCGAAUCAUGCUUUUCCAAGGAGAGACCUUCAACAUUACUCUAUCUCCAACUUGGAAUUCCAAAUGCUUACGUCUUACGUCAGCAUCGCUCUUCUGACGAUCACAUGUUGCCUUUAAUUGAUCCUUAAUUUACACGAUCUUUUGAGUUGUCUCGUGGCUGAUUUCUAGCUCGGCACAUAUGGUAUGACCUAUAUGUUCUCUGGCCAAUUGUGUGUCUCCAAAUUCUUAGCGCAAAAACUACAUCUCCCAAUUCAAGGUCAUGGGUAGUGUAAUUAUUCUCAUGCACCUUAAGUUGUCGUGAUGCGUAGGCGAUAACUUUUCGUCUUUGCAUCAACACACAUCCUAAUCCUUGAUUUGAUGCGUCGUAGUAUACGAAGAAAUCUUUUGUCCCAUUUGGAAGGGAUAGGAUUGGUGCACUACACAACAUUUGCUUUAGUUUUUGAAAAGCUGCUUCUUGUUUAUCUUCCCAGUUGAACUUCAUAUCCUUCUAGGUUAGUGUUGUAAGUGGCUUGGCUAUUUUGGAGAAAUUCUCUAUGAAUCUACGGUAAUAGCCAGCAAGUCCUAAGAAUUGACGCACUUCUGUUGGCGUCUUUAGUGUUUCCUAGUUCCUGAUUGCUUCAACCUUGGAGGGUUGGACACGAAUCCCUUUGUUACUAACCACAUGUUCUAAAAAUUGUACUUCUCUAAUCCAAAAUUCACAUUCGGAGAAUUUAGCAUACAACUUUUCUUUUCUUAGUAGUUCCAAGAUUAUUUGCAAGUGUUGACUGUGUUCUUCCUUGGUUUGUGAAUAUAUCAAUAUAUCAUCGAUAACUACUAGCACAAAUUUAUCCAAGUACGGUUUGCAAACACUAUUCAUGAGGUCCAUGAUAAUUGUUGGAGCGUUGGUCAAUCCCAAAAGGCUUAACUAAGAACUCUUCAUGACCAUAUCAAGUCCUAAAUGCUGUUUUCGGAACAUCAUCUUCUUGUACUCCGAGUUGAUGGUAUCCUGAUCUGAGACCUAUCUUUAAUCUUCUAGAAUCUUCAGGUGUUUUAGUCUAUCAACUACCGUAUCCAAGUUUAGUUGUGCAUCGGUCUGAACAAAAUUAAACAUAGGUGAUCAGCCUAUGUUUAGUUGUGGUUAGGCCCAUGUACAAUAAAACUCGACUAAGUAGUUUGACCUAAAGCAUUGUGUUGAAUUCUUAUCGAGGGUUUUGGUUUUCUAUAUUUUUGGUUUAUACACGUGUUCUCAUCGCGGGACUGAGUUCAUACAUAGCUCUAUAUCUUUGUGUUUGUUGUAUUCAUGGGUAUUAUUAAUUAUUGUUUGUUAAUUCAGGUCUAGCUGAUAAGGUACCGGCCAGUCAGGACAGUCGGUGGGCAGGAUCAUUUUAACAUAUAGUCGUUCUGAAAUCCAGCAAACCAAGCAACGUGUCUAUCCUGUCACCGCUCCCGUAAGUAGUCCUUCAGUAGUAUAAUUACUAAUACAUUUCAUUUGUAGGUUAAGGGAUAUACCUAAACCUAACAGACUAAGCCCUAAACUAUAGUCGUGCUUUCCUAAGAAAGUACUAAUUCACUAUAGCUAAUAGCUUUGAUACCAAUCUGUCACACCCCGACCGUCGGCAGAAACACCGGGCAGUGUAACGUCAUUUCUCGUAUCAUAGUUAUCAACUUCCCGAAAACAUAUGCAAUUUAAAAAUACGUCAACAUGAAGUUGGUGAGCUCACAGGUUUUGACUCCAUAUAAAAAUAAUACAUUUUCCAAGUUCAAAAGUAUAGUUUUGAAAGUAUCAUUUUGACUCUCCAAUGUUUAGUAUAUAUAUCCUAGGUAUAAAACUUUACUUACCAAAUAAGUAGUUUACCUAUAAGUCUCAUAUACUAUAACAUAACUUUUUGUAAUUCCAUACAAACGAAAGUUGUUACAUAUAAAUCUUAUUUCAAUUCUAUACGAGUAAAAAUCACUACGUACAAAUCUAUUUCAAUUCUAUACGAGUAUGUAUGUUAGGUAUAAUUAUCUACUUAAUAUACAAGUAGUACCUAGGGUAUAAGUAGGGGAAACUUAUACUUAACAUUAAAACUUGUAUACGACAAAGUAUAAUGUUUCUAACAAUUUGCUACCAUGAGUCUGUAACCGCUGCUAUGACAU